This 260-nucleotide ribosomal RNA is filed under the name uncultured prokaryote. RNAcentral describes it as "partial 16S ribosomal RNA". It matches the Rfam family "Bacterial small subunit ribosomal RNA", at positions 524 to 784 of the family's 1533-position model. The record is from RNAcentral.
UACGUAGGGGCGAGCGUUGUCCGGAAUGAUUGGGCGUAAAGGGCGCGUAGGCGGCUGUGCAAGUCAGUAGUGGAAGCCCAGCUUUUAAGGUUGGAGGUGCUAUUGAAACUGUGCAGCUUGAGUGCAGGAGAGGUUAUCGGAAUUCCCGGUGUAGCGGUGAAAUGCGUAGAGAUCGGUAGGAACACCAGUGGCGAAGGCGGGUGACUGGACUGCAACUGACGCUGAGGCGCGAAAGUGUGGGGAGCAAACAGGAUUAGAUA